UUGUAGCUAUUUUUUGUAGUCCGGGUUCCCCGAACGAAGUUGAUUAAAUCGCUCUUUAAGCAUUUUAAAUGAGUUCCGUUCCGCGCAAGUGUUUUGUGAUAGUUUGCGUUCUAAUCUAUCUCGCAGUGGACUUGUAGAACGGUUCAUAAAUAAGUGGCUUAUCAGCAUGCUUGGGGUUUUCGCUUAAAUUGAGCAUUCACUGCAAACACAGCCAGCGAAAAUUAAAAAAAAAAAUAUAUAUCAAAAAUAAUUAAAUUUUUUUAUUUAUUUGUGAAUCAUGUUUGUAUUACAGUCUUCAAAAAAAAUGUUUUAAUAUGUAUAUUGCCGUAUUGAAAAAUAUUUUUAAGAAAUUCGUGUCAUGUCUAACUCGAGCUUAUGACCUUUCAACGUAAAUAGUUUUAUUUAGAAUUGGUGAGCUGAAAAUAAUCAACGGAAAUUGCAGAUAAGUGGUACUGAAAUAAGGCUGACAAUCAUAAAAACCCAACCAACAAUAUAUAUAUAUGUAUAUAUGGAAAAUCCUCCUGUGUGGCUGUGUGGUUUCUGUGGCGAAGCGAAUGUGAAUGCGACCGUGGCAACAUUGCUUAAUGCCAUUGUAUUUGCUUAAAUGCCGGAAUUGCACACUGGUGCAACUGCUACAAUUUCCAUGUGCCAUAACAUUGAAUUGCAGUGAAGAGCGAGAAAAUUACUCUUUUUAAAGGCAACAUGGAAAAUACCUCUAAUUGAGGGAAAUCCUUGCCACAAAAGGCGAAAAAUGCUUCAACCAGAUGCUUGCAGUCACUCUGGAGAAAUUAUGAAAACUUAAAAGAGAUGUGGUAGAAUUGAAAUUCUACUCCACAAUUUCUAAAGUGCAUUCAAGGCCACUUAUGCACACGCUUGCCUUCAAUUGACUAAAAGCCACUUUACAUUGCUGCCGCUCCGCUUAAAACCAUGGCAAAAUGCCUUCGAAGGAGCUGCAUACAGUGAUGAGCACUCAAUAUGCAACAAGUUCACAGUGGUGUUUCUCACAUCACUACACAGUGCCACUUGACUCAUCACCCACACCCACACAUAUAGAUAUGAAUGCAUGUAAAUCCAAUGUUAUGUACCAUGUACCGUUUUGCACAUCAUAAAAUCGCACAUACACCGGCGUCUCAACGGCAACUUUGCCGCUCAUUGCACACACUUUAUUGCAUUGUUAUUUUAUUCGAAUUACUUUGCUCACUCACC
Zeugodacus cucurbitae (melon fly) is the source of this 1206-nucleotide long non-coding RNA. RefSeq lists it as uncharacterized. NCBI's taxonomy places the organism in Eukaryota, Metazoa, Arthropoda, Insecta, Diptera, Tephritidae. The transcript is spliced from 3 exons. The record is from RefSeq and is a predicted model, not a curated record.